Molecule: ribosomal RNA, 892 nt
Filed under: uncultured bacterium
Lineage: Bacteria
Description: bacterial SSU rRNA
Rfam family: Bacterial small subunit ribosomal RNA
Source: RNAcentral
AACGAACGCUGGCGGCGUGCCUAACACAUGCAAGUCGAACGGAAUGAGGGGGCUUGCUCCUUCAUUUAGUGGCGCACGGGUGAGUAACGCGUAGAUAAUCUGCCUGAUGAUCUGGGAUAACAUCUCGAAAGGGGUGCUAAUACCGGAUAAGCCCACGGGGUCUUUGGACUCUGCGGGAAAAGGGGGGGACCUUCGGGCCUUCUGUCAUCAGAUGAGUCUGCGUACCAUUAGCUAGUUGGUAGGGUAAUGGCCUACCAAGGCGACGAUGGUUAGCUGGUCUGAGAGGAUGAUCAGCCACACUGGAACUGAGACACGGUCCAGACUCCUACGGGAGGCAGCAGUGGGGAAUUUUGCGCAAUGGGCGAAAGCCUGACGCAGCAACGCCGCGUGAGUGAUGAAGGCUUUCGGGUCGUAAAGCUCUGUCAAGGGGAAAGAAGUGUAUUGUGGUUAAUACCCGCGAUACUUGACGGUACCCCUAAAGGAAGCACCGGCUAACUCCGUGCCAGCAGCCGCGGUAAUACGGAGGGUGCAAGCGUUGUUCGGAUUUAUUGGGCGUAAAGCGCGUGUAGGCGGUUUAUUAAGUCUGAUGUGAAAGCCCUGGGCUCAACCCAGGAAGUGCAUUGGAUACUGGUAGACUUGAAUACGGGAGAGGGCAGUGGAAUUCCUGGUGUAGGAGUGAAAUCCGUAGAUAUCAGGAGGAACACCGGUGGCGAAGGCGGCUGCCUGGACCGAUAUUGACGCUGAGACGCGAAAGCGUGGGUAGCAAACAGGAUUAGAUACCCUGGUAGUCCACGCCGUAAACGAUGAGUACUAGGUGUUGCGGGUAUUGACCCCUGCAGUGCCGCAGCUAACGCAUUAAGUACUCCGCCUGGGAAGUACGGUCGCAAGACUA